CCUUUACUAUAGCUUCGCAGUGGCAAUAUGACUGUAACGUGUAGCAUAGGUGGGAGGCUUUGAAGCCGGGACGCUAGUUCUGGUGGAGCCGAAAUGUGAAAUACCACCCUUUGCUUUUGUGUUGUCUAACCAUGUCCCGUUAUCCGGGACUGGGACCCUGCGUGGUGGGUAGUUUGACUGGGGCGGUCGCCUCCUAAAGUGUAACGGAGGCGCGCGAUGGUUGGCUCAGGACGGUCGGAAAUCGUCCAUCGAGUGCAAUGGCAUAAGCCAGCCUUACUGCGAGACUGACAAGUCGAGCAGUUGCGAAAGCAGGUCAUAGUGAUCCGGUGGUCCCGCAUGGAAGGGCCAUCGCUCAACGGAUAAAAGGUA
This 369-nucleotide ribosomal RNA is filed under the name uncultured organism. Its description in RNAcentral is "bacterial LSU rRNA". It matches the Rfam family "Bacterial large subunit ribosomal RNA", at positions 2098 to 2465 of the family's 2925-position model. The record is from RNAcentral.